Molecule: ribosomal RNA, 149 nt
Filed under: Gomphoid fungal sp. 3
Lineage: Eukaryota; Fungi; Basidiomycota; Agaricomycetes; Gomphales; Gomphaceae
Description: partial large subunit ribosomal RNA
Rfam family: Bacterial large subunit ribosomal RNA
Source: RNAcentral
UUGAGCGGUCUUAACUAUGAGGAUCCAAAGGUAGCAAAAUCAGUUGGCCAUUAAAUGUGGUCUUGUAUCAAUAAUGUAACGAUGGCCUCACUGUCUCUACAAGUCGCUCAGUGAAAUUGAAUUGUGAGUGCAGAUGCUCACUACCUCCG